GGAGGUUGGUGGUGGACGAGCCACUCGCCAACCGGGUCAGGUCCGGAAGGAAGCAGCCCUAACGAGCGCGGCACGGGUCAUCGUGCCAGCCUCCCACC
RNAcentral lists this signal recognition particle RNA (98 nucleotides) under Allorhizobium ampelinum S4. Its description in RNAcentral is "Agrobacterium vitis S4 SRP RNA; RNA component of signal recognition particle". It matches the Rfam family "Bacterial small signal recognition particle RNA". Rfam says of the family: The signal recognition particle (SRP) is a universally conserved ribonucleoprotein involved in the co-translational targeting of proteins to membranes. Archaeal SRP consists of a 7S RNA and homologues of the eukaryotic SRP19 and SRP54 proteins. In most bacteria, the SRP consists of a 4.5S RNA and the Ffh protein (a homologue of the eukaryotic SRP54 protein). The record is from RNAcentral. Lineage: Bacteria; Pseudomonadati; Pseudomonadota; Alphaproteobacteria; Hyphomicrobiales; Rhizobiaceae.